Molecule: ribosomal RNA, 911 nt
Filed under: Pseudomonas putida
Lineage: Bacteria; Pseudomonadati; Pseudomonadota; Gammaproteobacteria; Pseudomonadales; Pseudomonadaceae
Description: bacterial SSU rRNA
Rfam family: Bacterial small subunit ribosomal RNA
Source: RNAcentral
GCGCGNAGNUACAUNCAAUCAAGCGGAUGAGAAGAGCUUGCUCUUCGAUUCAGCGGCGGACGGGUGAGUAAUACCUAGGAAUCUGCCUGGUAGUGGGGGACAACGUUUCGAAAGGAACGCUAAUACCGCAUACGUCCUACGGGAGAAAGCAGGGGACCUUCGGGCCUUGCGCUAUCAGAUGAGCCUAGGUCGGAUUAGCUAGUUGGUGAGGUAAUGGCUCACCAAGGCUACGAUCCGUAACUGGUCUGAGAGGAUGAUCAGUCACACUGGAACUGAGACACGGUCCAGACUCCUACGGGAGGCAGCAGUGGGGAAUAUUGGACAAUGGGCGAAAGCCUGAUCCAGCCAUGCCGCGUGUGUGAAGAAGGUCUUCGGAUUGUAAAGCACUUUAAGUUGGGAGGAAGGGCAGUAAGCGAAUACCUUGCUGUUUUGACGUUACCGACAGAAUAAGCACCGGCUAACUCUGUGCCAGCAGCCGCGGUAAUACAGAGGGUGCAAGCGUUAAUCGGAAUUACUGGGCGUAAAGCGCGCGUAGGUGGUUCGUUAAGUUGGAUGUGAAAUCCCCGGGCUCAACCUGGGAACUGCAUCCAAAACUGGCGAGCUAGAGUAGGGCAGAGGGUGGUGGAAUUUCCUGUGUAGCGGUGAAAUGCGUAGAUAUAGGAAGGAACACCAGUGGCGAAGGCGACCACCUGGGCUCAUACUGACACUGAGGUGCGAAAGCGUGGGGAGCAAAACAGGAUUAGAUACCCUGGUAGUCCACGCCGUAAACGAUGUCAACUAGCCGUUGGGAAUCCUUGAGAUUUUAGUGGCGCAGCUAACGCAUUAAGUUGACCGCCUGGGGGAGUACGGCCGCAAGGUUUAAACUCAAAUGAAUUGACGGGGGGCCCCGCACAANNCGGUGGAACAUGUNG